UUUACGGGAGGCAGCAGUGGGGAAUUUUCCGCAAUGGGCGCAAGCCUGACGGAGCAAUACCGCGUGAGGGAAGACUGCCUAUGGGUUGUAAACCUCUUUUUUCAGGGAGGAAUAAAAUGACGUGUACCUGAAGAAUAAGCAUCGGCUAACUCCGUGCCAGCAGCCGCGGUAAU
This 173-nucleotide ribosomal RNA is filed under the name uncultured bacterium. RNAcentral's name for it is "partial 16S ribosomal RNA". It matches the Rfam family "Bacterial small subunit ribosomal RNA", at positions 338 to 524 of the family's 1533-position model. The record is from RNAcentral.